Molecule: ribosomal RNA, 429 nt
Filed under: Pseudomonadota bacterium
Lineage: Bacteria; Pseudomonadati; Pseudomonadota
Description: Proteobacteria bacterium partial 16S ribosomal RNA
Rfam family: Bacterial small subunit ribosomal RNA
Source: RNAcentral
UGGGGAAUAUUGGACAAUGGGCGAAAGCCUGAUCCAGCCAUGCCGCGUGUGUGAAGAAGGUCUUCGGAUUGUAAAGCACUUUAAGUUGGGCGGAAGGGCAGUAAGCGAAUACCUUGCUGUUUUGACGUUACCGACAGAAUAAGCACCGGCUAACUCUGUGCCAGCAGCCGCGGUAAUACAGAGGGUGCAAGCGUUAAUCGGAAUUACUGGGCGUAAAGCGCGCGUAGGUGGUUCGUUAAGUUGAAUGUGAAAGCCCCGGGCUCAACCUGGGAACUGCAUCCAAAACGGGCAAGCUAGAGUAGGGCAGAGGGGGGUGGAAUUUCCUGUGUAGCGGUGAAAUGCGUAGAUAUAGGAAGGAACACCAGUGGCGAAGGCGACCAACUGGGCUCAUACUGACACUGAGGUGCGAAAGCGUGGGGAGCAAACAGG